GGGGAAUAUUGGACAAUGGGCGCAAGCCUGAUCCAGCCACGCCGCGUGAGUGAUGAAGGCCUUCGGGUCGUAAAGCUCUGUGGGGCGAGACGAACCGCUGGGGGUGCAUAGCCUCUAGCAUGACGGUAUCGCCUUAGCAAGCACCGGCUAACUUCGUGCCAGCAGCCGCGGUAAUACGAAGGGUGCAAACGUUGCUCGGAAUCAUUGGGCGUAAAGCGCACGUAGGCGGUCCACCAAGUCGGAUGUGAAAUCCCUCAGCUCAACUGAGGACGUGCAUUCGAAACUGGCGGACUUGAGUACCAAAGAGGAUUGCGGAAUUCCCGGUGUAGAGGUGAAAUUCGUAGAUAUCGGGAGGAACACCAGUGGCGAAGGCGGCAAUCUGGGUGGAUACUGACGCUGAGGUGCGAAAGCGUGGGGAGCAAAC
This 424-nucleotide ribosomal RNA is filed under the name uncultured bacterium. RNAcentral's name for it is "bacterial SSU rRNA". It matches the Rfam family "Bacterial small subunit ribosomal RNA", at positions 356 to 773 of the family's 1533-position model. The record is from RNAcentral.